ACACCGGUAGUACAGUGGUUAGUGCAGUCUGCCGGAAACAGAAGGACGCUGGUUCAAUUCCCGUCUCAUGUC
RNAcentral lists this transfer RNA (72 nucleotides) under Nippostrongylus brasiliensis. It matches the Rfam family "tRNA". Rfam says of the family: Transfer RNA (tRNA) molecules are approximately 80 nucleotides in length. Their secondary structure includes four short double-helical elements and three loops (D, anti-codon, and T loops). Further hydrogen bonds mediate the characteristic L-shaped molecular structure. tRNAs have two regions of fundamental functional importance: the anti-codon, which is responsible for specific mRNA codon recognition, and the 3' end, to which the tRNAs corresponding amino acid is attached (by aminoacyl-tRNA synthetases). tRNAs cope with the degeneracy of the genetic code in two manners: having more than one tRNA (with a specific anti-codon) for a particular amino acid; and 'wobble' base-pairing, i.e. permitting non-standard base-pairing at the 3rd anti-codon position. The record is from Rfam by way of RNAcentral. Lineage: Eukaryota; Metazoa; Nematoda; Chromadorea; Rhabditida; Heligmosomidae.